CCCCUUGCUAGUUAGUCUAGGAGUCCCAUCCUUUCUUUUCCCUUGAGGGUAACUAAUUCCAUGUUCCUUCUCUAGCCCCCGUCUUGAAUACAAGGCAAUCUUUCACCACCAGGCAAACUUUGGCCAGCUUAGUCUCGGACGUCAGUUCUGAUACGGACUAAUUAUGUACCGGGGUUUUACAAACUUCAGUGUUGAAUCCUGUCUUCAAAUGACAAUUUAGAGAAAGCCCAAUAUAGAAAAGAGAUCUAGUCAUAGCUGUUCUUAUACAGGCAGGCAUGAGGAAGGCCCCAAAGCCCAUGUCUGCAGCAUGCCUCAGUUACGACUUAUACCUACUGUUUGAUCAAAGCCCUGAGCAAGGUGGAAUUACUAAGACGUGACUCAUUAUAUCCAGAUGGUACAUUAUAUGGUACAUUGUAUUGAAAUGUUCGCAUUUACCUUCUUUCCCUGACCUUCCAUUCCACCAAAAGAAAUCCCAAGAUCAGUCCAAUUUUGAGUAGAAGACAACUUAGAUCUAAUCCAGCCUUAUCCUUCCCGUUUUAUAGAUGAUCAAGAGAACCUCAGAAGAAGCAACCUAACCUGGUCAGAAGUAAUUCAUGGUAGAGUUCAGUGGUGGAACAAGCUGUACCGGGGUGUUCAAGACAUGAUACUACACAUGGAAGCUAUGUUUCAGGGACAGCCGCUGUUCCUGGGUAGGUUGUAUAGUAUAUUGCCACAGUCCUGGAGGACAUGGGGAUCUAACCAGGGAUCCAGUUCUGGGAAGUGGCAUUCAAUAUGAGUUUAGAACAUGGGCGGAAGAAGUUUGUAGGACCAACAGCAGAUCUGACUUAAUGCUAAGUGACCACUGCUGGCUCUCCAUGUUCUAACUUAAUAGUAUUGGCUCUAGAUCCCGAGUUAGAACUAUGCGGCUUUACCAGUGAAAAGACGGGAAACUCAAGACACUGAAAGCCAAGCAAGUCAUCUUUCCUGCCCACCCUCUGCCUUCCCACCAGCAACAAUUAUUCAUGUUUAAUAACCACCUUGUCCUCUAAAAUUUCCCCAGUGUACAGAAUGUAGUCUGAAACAUGCUGCGUUUUUCAAGUAAGUUUUCCCCAUCUUCAGGGACAUUUUCUCUAAACAGAAUACCCUUGAGCAGAGCUUCCUAGCUGGUGAGUCGCAGCACAGUGGGUUGACAGGUAUAUGAUACAGAUUUCUCAUUCCUUGGGAGAACUGCGGACUUCGACCAUUAGCAACUUCAUCUAGCUUUCUAAAUCCCCUCCAGAGUGUGGGCUAUACAAGUAUUUUCCACGUGGGCCAUGAGUUAAAACGAUUUGAAAGCAUUGUGCUGGAAUACUGGGCUAUGGGACUGUGUUCCAGUUUUGUGAGCGGCAUGUUACAAACAUCCUUCUGUGCAGGCUCUAGAUUUUAGUAACUUUCUGACCUCCAUUCUCUUUACUAUCGAAGAAUCUCAGACAGUUAUGGCUGCAGACUAAGUCCUGUUAUUAGCCCAAAAAGUAAGUCUCCCAACUUCUGGAAUGAUCAACUAUUUCCUCAUCCUAUGCAAAACAUCCUCUGUAUACUUCGUUUAAUCCCAACCACCCUUGUACCUAUUUCUAACCAGACAACUGAGGCUUGGUGAGGGGUAAUUUAGUUGCCAAUGGGUUACACAGUAAGAUGACACAUCUAGAACUCCAGCUCAGGCCAGGGUGCCAAAUUUGUGUUCUCAUCCCCAGAUUAUGUUGCCUCAUUGCAAAACUCAGAUUAUUCCAUGGAAAAACAGCAUCUCUGGAAUUCCCAUAUAGGAAUGAUAGCCUCGUUUGCAGGGAAGUGCACUCAUGGCUUGAGACCGUGUUCACAUAUCAAGCUGCAUUAACUGAGCAAGAACCGAUUACCUUGUCCAAGAAGAGAAAGCAGACUGAGGGCUAUCAUGGGAGGAAGAGGAGGUGGCUAGAACUCUUCAAGCUACUCCCUGGCAUAGUCACACAAGGGAAUUUGAGCAUGGCAUCCCAAGUGUAGCCAUCUCUAAGAUUUAACCACUUUUGAAUCUUUCCCUUAUGAAAUCUUGGCAACUUCCAUUUUCCAACAAUUUUAAGAUCCUUCUCAAAUUUUAGUCCUUCCUAAGCCACAAGAGACUCCAAAAGCUAUAGCUCUAAUAGUUGACAUCGUUUAUCCAUAACCUACAUUCCUCCAAGAGUGAAAUAACCUCAUUGACAGAAUGAUCUAAGUGGAUGAGCAGAUAAGGGGCCAUCCACAUUCUCCCUCAUCUCCAAACCAUACCAACAGUCUCCAAAAGCUCCCUAAUAUCAAGAUGGGUAUGCAAGUUACAGGUAAGAUGGAGUAUAAACAAAAGUUAGACUCUUGGAACAAUGAAGCUAUUAAGUGUUACAUCACUUGACAUUCAGUGAAGCAGGGAUUCUUGAUAUUGCACAUCUGCAAAACCCAACACCUUUUGAAUUAGAACAUUUUGAAUUUUGCUUUCUAUCAAGAGACCCAUGCAUAAGAAAUUCAGAUCUGGAACCCAUUUAUAUUGCAGAAAGAUAACCAUAGCUUUACAGGAUAAAGCUGUAACUGGCUAGCAAUGAAGGAUUGAAGGUGAGGCUUUUUUUUUUUUUUUUAAAUAUAGCAUUCCUUGAUUUAUUUUGGCUGUUAUCUCCUGAGCCUUUAGUCUUCUUUCAUUCUGAUCAACAUACUCAUGUGAAACUAGUAUCCCUAUUAGGAAAGUUAUUGAAACAAGACAUGGUAGUUUAGUUACGUUACCCCUUCUGAGUAACUUUGCUGUCAAUCCAACCUAGAUUAAGUUAAGAAGCAAACUCACUUGUCACAUUAACUGAGCACUUGAAGUACUGAUGUAAAAUAUUCAUUCUGCAUAACAUUUAGUGCAAUAAAUUGUACCGCACUUUCACUUACCUAUCAUUCUGCAAUUAUUUAAAUAAGUGAUAAAGAAUAAGAUACACAUUUCUUCCCUUUGUUUUGUGUUUAGCAAGUGUAGUUUUAUGUCUAUUAAGUCUUACAUAAUUUGGUUUUUGAUAGUUUACUGUGUCUUAAACUGUCGACCCAUGAUGGAUUAGAAACAAACUGUCCCUGUAUCAGACAGUCUGAGAUGCACUAGACUGGGCCACCCCAGACAUAACUCACUUGAUAAAUUGCUACCUAUAAAGUUAUUUUACUCCUGCCAUCCCAUGAGGGGGAUCUCAAAACAUUAACAGUGCAAUUGAUUGUUUGGAGUGCCCAUGGCAUCAUUUCAGGAGUCCUACUUUCAAGUUCAUGUAGGAACUUGUGACAUCGGUUGAUCUGAUAGAUUCCUCACCCCUGUAAGAGGUAUAGGAACCUUUAAAACAUUCUAAAAUACACUCAAUUUCAACAAUUCAUGGGGCUAGGUGGAGGACAGGAAGACAUUCAACAGCUGGCACUUCAGAAAACUUCCAAACUCUUAGGAAUCACUAAUAGAUGGAUCUAUUAAUUCAAAUUGCUAGUAAGUGUCCCCAUAGAACUGUAGGGACACGCCAAUUACCAAGUUACAAAAACUCAGGCAAUACAUUUAGUACCUGAUCAUAAAGAAAAACAAGCCCUGUAAGAUGCAAUUCUAAGCUUUCACGUUUCUAAGCUUCAAACAAAAGCCCUAUGAAUCAUGCUUGUGGUUUUAAAUAUUUGAGGAAACUAUUGCCAGAGUCAUUACCCAUUUACCCAGAUCUUGUAGAUUCUUAGACAAACAUAUUUAAUGGUUUUCAUCUGUUAGUGUCACCUGACUGAGGUGACUAACUGGGUGUCUGACAGCUGGAGUAGAGAUUACAUUUCUUUCAGCCUGAAGUGUUGAGUCAAACAGAUACCAGUCAGUUCCCCAUGCCUAGGUCCUUUGUCUACUGCCAGGUUUGGGCAUUUACCUCCAGAAUGGUUCUGUUUCAAUAGGCAAGGGAAGUUACCUAAGAGUACAUGUGCAAGAAUUGCCUACAUCAACAAGUCACAUAUCUUUGGCCCGUCUCUUGGAUUUUCUUUCCCCAGAGUAAUCAUGUUACAUUAACUCAAGACCACAAUUGGCAUUUGCAGACUCACCUUACACAAAUGUUUUUAUUGCUGGAGUAGCGGCCAAAGCUUGGCUUGGGAAAAACAGUGGAAGUCUGUCAAGACUGGGAUGAGGGGACCACUAUUUUUGAGUUGAGCUUUUCCAAAUAACUUCUGAAAGAACAGACAAAGCAGGUGCCGCCUGUAAGAACAGCAACUUCUUAGAGGUUAACACAAUUCGACAAGGCAUCAGGUUGUGGGAACACUUCGUUACCAUGAAGAUUAGCUGCCUCUUCUGGUGGCCCACAAGCAGCUCCUGCAUCACAACUGGCUCCUAGUCACAAGCUGGCCCAGUCCAUUAUGCAGCUCAGUGGUUAAGAGCACAUUUGGAAAGUGCUUUAAGUAUUGAACAUAAUUUAAAAACUGAGCCAAACAAAGCCACAAGCAGUAUUCGAGAUUCAUUACUCUUAGCAUCAGUCACACAAGAAACAAUCCAGCAUCAUAGAGUAGCAGAGUGAAGAGAAAGCACCUAGGCAUCCAAGUAAAAUGGAGUUAACCCUGUGUGACAAGGUAAAUGGGAUCCCACUUCUCAGAUACAUAAUGGGGUAACAAACACUUCUUACAGGCUGGAGAUCUAGUUCUUAACUAAGGAUGAUAUUCAAGUUAUUUAGCAGCCAAAUCAGUCAUGUUGUAGGAGUAGUAGUAAUAGGGCCACCAACUUAUGUAGCAUAAGUUACUCAAUAACACUUUAAUAGGUCCAAAUCCUUCAAUGAGUUUUAUAGUGUAGCUACUAGUAGUUCAGUAACGCUCCUACUUAGCUAGGAUUUAGGAAAGGACGCUAUUACCUGCAGAUGACUUCUCCAUUGGCCUAAUGAUCAUUAGGCCUCUAAAGAUUUGUUGCAGCUGGAGGGUGGCUGGGCAUUCAGCACACAAGAUGUGACAAGGUACAUAGCUGCAUGCAAUCAACCUGAGGUCACCUGAAAAUGCCAGUAGCGUGCCCCUGCAAUGCUGGGAAGUUCCUGAGAAUCAGGCAGAUGCUGCGCAUGCCCACUCAACGACCCCGAAUCUCUCACUCGUGGCCACCUGGACCAUCAAACAUCUGUACUGACGCAGCUCCUGGGCUCCCAUUCUCCAACCUGGGGACUGCUGCUGGCCGUCAUCAGUGGGGGAUUUGCCAUUUUGACAAGUAGAUAGCUUUUACCAAUGAUUGCCUUAAUUAACACAGAGCAUACUGACUGCUUCUAUAGCUGCUCAAACAUCUCACAGCCCACAAACAGCUUUGCAUUGUAUAUUUUAUUGUCACACCACCCCAAAUGACAGACAGCCAAUUUGCUCAUGUUUCAGCCUCCUAUAAGGGAGAGCAUAAUAAUGUCAGAAUCCAGAUUGUUACAUCUACCACCACCAUCCACAAUAGCAAGACCUCUCAAAGUACCCUCAGUUAUUUCUGGGCCUCAGGCUCAUGAAAAGUUGGCUCCAGUUCUGCUUUGGCCUUAUUUCUGUCAAGUGCCCAAAAGCCUAAGGGAAGUGCUACUGGUUUAACAGCUUCCAACCUUCCAGAUAUGCUAAAGGGAUCUGCAUUUCUCUCCGUGUCACAUUUCAUUCUCACCAUGUGAGAAGCAAACUAUGGUUCUUGAACAAAUGGGGCUAUCGCUUCGCUUCCUUACUACAUCAGUCACCUUGGCCUCACAGCAGCCCAGCUUGACCCUGGGGCUCAAUCUCAUGCCCUUCAGCCUCACCACAGUUCUGAUGCAGGUCUGAGGAACAGACACCUUUUUCUUCUCCAGUUCCCAAAAGCUUCCCCUUAGCAGUUAGAUGCGUCCAGUGAAUACAGACACCUGGGGAAGACCAGCCCAGCUGUUCUAAAUUCCAACCCAGGCUGAGUCAGUUUACUAGAAAGAAGAGUUUAGUAAGGAGUGUCGUGAAGAAGAUUCCCCCCUACUCUCGAAAUUUAGUUCAGUUUGAUGUGUAUUUACACUGGUCCUUAUUCAGGCACAAUAUCAUUUCAGGUCCUAAUAAACCACCUUUUUGCUGUAUACUCCUGUUGGCUUAUAAGAAGUCUCCUUAACAUGGCACAUCACUGAAAAGCACACUGAGCCUAAUUUGAGUGUAACUCAGCAGUAAGAGGCAGGGUCCCUCCAACCACGAAGAGACUCUAACGUGUUUUAGAGGAGGGGGUGGGUGGCGAGUGAGGCCUGGAUAAGGUAGGUAUUAAAUGCUUAAGUGUUUGAUCUCUUUAAGAUACCACUAACUUAAGUUGAAAAAUACUCAAAGAGCUACUUGUAUUUUUCCAGUAUCCUGUACUUAGAACAGCCAUGAGUUACUAAAAACUUUAGAAUGUGCGCUCUGGGUACACAUAGCACAGAGAAUUCCAAGACGAAGUCUGCCAGCAAUAAUCAAAUAAAGCGAUUGCUAGGGGUGCGGAAGGUGGUCAUAGCACUGACGUAGAAUCGUGUUAAACAUGAGGCAGUCAUUCUGACAAAGUUCAAGUAAGUAGUUUCAAUGGUUCCAAUGUUCUGGUUCCUGGGAAUUUCCCUCUUGACAGGUUUGCACACAAGUGACAGCAAUACUGAAACUACAUCGUAUGCAAGUCAGUUUAGACCAACAUCUCUAGAACAGGCGGCAAGUGAAGUUCAAGAGGAAUAGGCCCUGAAGUUACCUCUUCUUUUAUCUAGUCCAACACGAUAGCCCCUAGCCAUUGAACACUUGAGACAGGGCUAGUCUGAAUUGAGAUGUGCUGCAACUUUAAGAUGCAUACUAGAUUUCAGACUUAGUAGCAAAAAUACGUAGGCACGUAAGUUGUUACACUUCGAAAUAUUUUGUCUAUUGGGUUAGUAUAUUUUUUUAAUGAGGCCACUAUAACACCUGAAGUUACAUAUGCAGCUUAUACUUGUUUCACAUGAUGUGCCUCUUGGACAGCAGCAUCCUAGAGCCUCCUGUAAGUUCCCUAUAAAGACAGUGUGCAGAGAACCAUGAUCUAGAAGUUUCCCACAAAUGCUACCUUCAGGUAGAAGUUGAGGGUUCUUAGGGAUUAGAAAACUUGAUUUCAAAGAACUAGACAAGAUCAUCGACUUGUUUAGUUUAUACCACAGCCCAUCUCCCCUGGCAGUUCCUAAGACCCAAAGAUGAAAUGGUAUAUUAAAUAUCUUUAGACAACUAUCGCUUGUCGUUUAGUUGACCAUGCCUGAUCUAGCCUCUGAAAAUUCACUCAACUGCUUCCAAAACCUCACCAGCACAGAGCAAAACCAACCUGGGCUUUUCCAAGCUUCCUCCUCAUUUCAGAGCUUAGCCUUGCUUCCACUGGGCCACCACAUUAGGGAAAGACAGACCACAUUUUGUGGUCACCUACAGGGCUUUCCUGCUACUGAAAGGAAGCUUCAUUCCCCUCACUUCACACUUCCUACUAGGUUCUUAUCAAGCCCCUCUCUAUCACCUACUCUGAAUAAGACUGUGCCGGGGUUAGACACACAAGGUCAUUUUGAUGAAAAGUCUAGGGCAAAGUCGAAAUCCACUCCAGCCUUGUUUCCUAAGUUACUUCAAAGAAAAAAAAGCCCAACUUGCAAGUCAGCUCUGAUUUCCAGCCAGCAUGCCCUCACCCCUUCCUGUGGAGAGUUUCGCAUUGCCCUUAUGCCACAGCUGGGUGUUUGUGUUCCUUCUCAAGUUACGCUUUAGGCUCCUGGAGGGCAGGACCCUCACUUCCUUCAGCCACCGGUCUCACAACUAUUGCUGUAGUUUGAGAGGCAGGAGAAAGGUGAACUGUUGGACCUGGAUAACCUCUGGCCACCACAGCUCUCACCCACAGGGUUCUAAAGGAUUGGUUCCCUGGAGGAAAAAAUGCCAGCCAUCCGAGUUCAACAGAAUCAGAUGCCUGAAAGAGCUGUUUGUAAGCAAAUUGCUUUGCAGAUCAAAGGAUUCAGGACCACGGUCAAGGCCAUGCUCCCUGCAACUCCACCUCUAUGCCUCUUAAGACAUCAGACUCGGCAGUACUGAAACAAGCCAUAGACCCUGUGUGUGUUCACUUCUACUCAAGCUCAAACCUGCAACAUAAGAAACAAGAUUAGGCCUAGAUCAGGAGUUUCCCUAGAGGCAGCCUCAGAAUUUGAAGAGGUUACCGCUGUAACCACAGCUGCAGAGCUUGAGGUGUCUCCCUGAACAGAAGCUGGCUUUUAAGAACUGUAAUGCGUGAGUAUCCUUCAAUAAGCGGAAGUAUGGUAUUUAGACCCUUUCAAACUGUGUUCCCCAGUACCUUGGGUAUUCUCUGGGCUCCUUGGGACAGGAGAUUAGUUGAAGGGUUCUGCACACACUCCCCUGCUCCUAGAUCAGGUUUCUUACUUUGCUAUACAUCGAGAUUCCACAAAAAUGUUCAAAAGCCACUGGCUUGAAUUACAACAUCUCAUGUUGGCUCACCUACAGGUAGAUUAACGGGAGGAAGGGCUCUUGAUAAUCAGUUAGCUACCUUUAACAAAUCCUUCUAGAGAAACUAAUAGCUUCUCCCAGAGGCACGGGUUUUAGUUCACCUGGUUCCAACUUCUAUUAUUGAAUUUCUUCACCUUUGCCCAUUUUCCCACUACCCCCUUUUCAUUGCUUAGUACUUGUCUGAGUGGCUUAUUACAAUUAAGAUAAAGUAGUUGUCUUCAACUAAGGACAGUUUGAUAGAUUUGGUGCUAAGAAAUGAGACAUGAUACAACCAGUUUCCUAGGAAAGCAGCCACUGGACGCUAGUGUUGAGCAACUCAGUCAACACUGGAUACUAAGCAAAAACCAAAAGAAUGAGUUGAUCUCGAAGUGGCCUUGGCACAACUGAGGAAUUUCAAUUAAUGCCACCCUAAGGGCUAGUCAGGGUUUUGGCUACUAUGAGCUGAAUCUCAGACAAGUUCCAAGAGAAAACAUAAGCCGAGGUUUGGGCUAAACUGAGCCCAGUGGCCAGAAAGCAGGCAGAGUGCACAUUAGGCCAAAGCUCAGAGAGGCAUCCACACAGACGAAACGGCCUAAGGCACAGCCAGGUUCCCAUUUGCGGAGGGGAGUCUUCCGCUAUUUCAUGUCAUGUUCUAAACAUAAGUUGACAUUUGAGAAGCUUGAUACUACUCAAAUUCCUUCUCCCCACUCUCAUGGUUUCAGCUAUAAACUUGUCUCCUCCUAACCCAUCAUACGUUUGAUAUCUAGAGCCAUGUGGCUCUCCAGAAGCCUGUCCAGUAACACCAACUACUUGUAGACAGCAGCUUCAUAGGACUCACCUGCAGUUAAGCCCUUAAUUGGGUAAACAGAUGACAAUUGUUUUGCCCUGCAUUUCUAAGGGGGGAAAGGCGAAACUUUUGUGCCUCCACUGUCAUCUUUUGAGGUGUUUUCUUUGCCUGAUAAUCCAUUGAGGUAUUUCAUCGAUUUGAAAGUGAAGUUGUAGACAGAGGUUCACUUUUCAUUUGUUUUCCUUGGUUUUCAUAGUGUUUGAUAAAGUUACAUAAAACAAAGUGCUAGUAGACAAGCUAUACCAUGCACUAUAAUAUCUUAGAAUUCACACCUAAAUUUAACCAAGUUCUUGGUUGACAGAAUCAAGUCACUAGUACACCAGCUUUUGGAAUUUCUGGAAGCAGAAAAAUUUUCCUAUCAAUAAAGAUACACAAUUACAGGUAAGGAGUCUACAGGAUGAGUAAUUAGGUAAUUGGUUUUCAGUGUUGUUAGGCAGCCAUGGAGAAGCAGAGCCACCCAUCCCUUUCCCUGGGCUUCAUCUUCCCCCCCCCCCCCCGCCCCCCCCCCCACCACCACCUGCCCCACACUCAGUUCUAGUUAUAACCAUUAACUAACAGUGUUGCUUAGAAAGGCUGGGCCUCUCAAGAUCCCAGGUCUUUUCUGUCAAGAAAUUCUAUGUUAAGCAGAUUGCCAGCACAGAACCACACAUCUCUUGAGUCGGGUAUCCAUGUGAUCUUUGCUAUUCUGAGCCCUGCUUCCUUCAUAAGUACAUUGUAAACAAAGUAACUCCACACUGACGGAGAUGAGAGUAGACAAAGGUGCAUGUCCUGACUCGAACUUUUUCUCCAUUUUUCCAGCUUUUUCUUAAAGAAAGUGACCUAGGUGUUUGAGAAGUGUGAUUUUUAGAAGAAAGCUUUAUAUAGUUGACCUAAAGAAACUGCAAUACAAUCUGCUAUGCAGCACCUGUGAAGUCAGUCAAGAGAAUGAAUACGUCCAUCACAUAGCAUGUUCUUGAGUCUCUCACAGAGAUGCCACAUCAUCCCCUUCCCCUGUAACAGGCACUUUUGUCUCUUGACAAGCUUAAGGAAGCCCCACAAUCCUUCUAGUGCUCCGGGUGGCCACCAUCUAACUAGAUAGUUUCCUCACUCUCCCAGCUGCAAAAGCUUCUCCUAAUCAUUCACCUAUCAGGAAAGUGCUUCCAGGUGAGUAAAUCUGGCACUGAAUGAAGAUCACAAGGUGAGAUAAUACAUUUCCCUCCACCUCCACAUCCAGGUAUAAGGUUUCAGCCCACAGGUUUUAUACAAAGUAUCUUCAGAUCAGACAGCUGCUUUCAAAGGGAAUGUAACUAAGACCCCACUCCUUGGUAAGAGGGCUCAAAAGCCACAUGAUGCUUGAAGUUCACUUUAGCUCCCUCCUUCACUAAACACACCACACAAAGGAUGUUUGCUUCCCACAAAUAAGUCUAAUUCAAAAAUUAGACUUUUCCUCCCAUGGUUUUCACCCAAGCUGACCCAAACUUUAGUCUCUAAAGCAGGAUGGAGAGAAGCUAGUUUUUGUGUCUGCCAUUACUCUGGACAGGAGUUUCUCUCCAAUAGAGGUUUUAGGAUUCCAACCGAAGGCUAGAAAUAAAGGCAUUUAGAAACUUCUCAAAGAAAGCAAGAUUACCAGGUUUACUCUAAGCAUAGGGGCUCUAAACUGACGUGUUUCUUUACUGCAGUACAUUAGCUGGGAGAGAGAUUUUGCUAAAGUAUCUUUUAUGCUAAAGGUUAAACAGUACUUAAAAAGCAGGUGACUUAAGAGAUUUGAUCAUGAGUCUCAAAAUUCACGAUCCCAUCUUAAGCUUCCCCAAGAUCUAACUUCCUUUAGAAACCCCAGUGAUAAGAAAAGCUUCUCCUCUGUCUCUAUUUCAAGCAAGAGAAGAGACGCCUGAUAAGACGACUCCAGGAAGUUGCCAUAACCUCCUAAGAGGUAUUUUCUGUCUGCACACAACUAGUUUCCAUUCUUUCAAGUUCCUCAAUCUGCUUAGAUUCCCUCGCCUAUUUACUUCGUUCAUUCUUUCCCUUUUAAAGUAAGCUAACCAAAAUUUCCCUUGAGAUCUACGAAAGGUUUGGUUCUUUCUACCCACCGCUCCUAGCCAGAUAACUUUUUAGCACGCAGUGUGCCUGUAAAACUUUGAACCACGUUCAGACCCCAACCCCAAACCACACCCAGCAGCACCAGAGCAACCU
RNAcentral lists this long non-coding RNA (11383 nucleotides) under Equus caballus (horse). RNAcentral describes it as "lncRNA (ENSECAG00000054694.1)". Lineage: Eukaryota; Metazoa; Chordata; Mammalia; Perissodactyla; Equidae. The record is from RNAcentral.